GACGAACGCUGGCGGCGUGCUUAACACAUGCAAGUCGAACGGAAAGGCCCUGCUUUUGUGGGGUGCUCGAGUGGCGAACGGGUGAGUAACACGUGAGUAACCUGCCCUUGACUUUGGGAUAACUUCAGGAAACUGGGGCUAAUACCGGAUAGGAGCUCCUGCUGCAUGGUGGGGGUUGGAAAGUUUCGGCGGUUGGGGAUGGACUCGCGGCUUAUCAGCUUGUUGGUGGGGUAGUGGCUUACCAAGGCUUUGAGGGGUAGCCGGCCUGAGAGGGUGACCGGCCAGGUUGGGACUGGAAUACGGCCCAGCCCCCCCGGGGGGGCAGGGGGGGGGAAUAUGGCAAGAGGGGGGGAAGCCAGAGGGAGCAACGCCGGGUGGGGGGAGACGGCCUUGGGGUGUGAACCCGCUUUCGCCGGUGAGGAAGGGUGGGUGGCGGUAAUGGGAAAAGAAGCACCGGCUAACUACGG
Molecule: ribosomal RNA, 467 nt
Filed under: uncultured bacterium
Lineage: Bacteria
Description: partial 16S ribosomal RNA
Rfam family: Bacterial small subunit ribosomal RNA
Source: RNAcentral